AGGGAGAGGGAAAGAGAGCGGGAGAGAGAAAGAGAUCAGAGAGAACGGGAACGUGCAGCGGUAGAAUACAUGUGUGGAGGUUCUGAGCAACCUGGCCGACCAGGCAGCCGUAGUUAUCUGCGUUCCUCUUCGCCCUCUGUGAGAUCACAGGAGGGCGUCCUCCAACAGCGGCCGAGCAUCUUCCAGGGCACCACCUCCAAGAGCGUCAUUACCCCACUCAUG
Long non-coding RNA from Sinocyclocheilus rhinocerous, 222 nucleotides. RefSeq lists it as uncharacterized. The transcript has 2 exons. Lineage: Eukaryota; Metazoa; Chordata; Actinopteri; Cypriniformes; Cyprinidae. The record is from RefSeq and is a predicted model, not a curated record.